ACCUUGCGCNUUUGGAGCGGCCGAUGCCUGAUUAUCUUGUUGGUGAGGUAAAAGCUCACCAAGGCUUCGAUCAGUAGCUGGUCUGAGAGGACGACCAGCCACACUGGGACUGAGACACGGCCCAGACUCCUACGGGAGGCAGCAGUGGGGAAUUUUGGACAAUGGGGGCAACCCUGAUCCAGCCAUGCCGCGUGAGUGAAGAAGGCCUUCGGGUUGUAAAGCUCUUUCAGCCGGAACGAAACGGUUACGGUUAAUACCCGUGACUACUGACGGUACCGGAAGAAGAAGCACCGGCUAACUACGUGCCAGCAGCCGCGGUAAUACGUAGGGUGCGAGCGUUAAUCGGAAUUACUGGGCGUAAAGCGUGCGCAGGUGGUUUUGUAAGUCAGAUGUGAAAUCCCCGGGCUUAACCUGGGAACUGCGUUUGAAACUACAAAGCUAGA
Molecule: ribosomal RNA, 443 nt
Filed under: uncultured beta proteobacterium
Lineage: Bacteria; Pseudomonadati; Pseudomonadota; Betaproteobacteria
Description: bacterial SSU rRNA
Rfam family: Bacterial small subunit ribosomal RNA
Source: RNAcentral